AUUGAACGCUGGCGGCAGGCCUAACACAUGCAAGUCGAACGGUAACAGGAAGCAUCUUGCUGCUUCGCUGACGAGUGGCGGACGGGUGAGUAAUGUCUGGGAAGCUGCCUGAUGGAGGGGGAUAACUACUGGAAACGGUAGCUAAUACCGCAUAAUGUCGCAAGACCAAAGAGGGGGACCUUCGGGCCUCUUGCCAUCGGAUGUGCCCAGGUGGGAGUUGCUUGUUGGUGGGGUAACGGCUCACCAAGGCGACGAUCCCUAGCUGGUCUGAGAGGAUGACCAGCCACACUGGGACUGAGACACGGUCCAGACUCCUACGGGAGGCAGCAGUGGGGAAUAUUGGACAAUGGGCGCAAGCCUGAUGCAGCCAUGCCGCGUGUAUGAAGAAGGCCUUCGGGUUGUAAAGUACUUUCAGCGGGGAGGAAGGGAGUAAAGUUAAUACCUUUGCUCAUUGACGUUACCCGCAGAAGAAGCACCGGCUAACUCCGUG
Molecule: ribosomal RNA, 490 nt
Filed under: uncultured bacterium
Lineage: Bacteria
Description: partial 16S ribosomal RNA
Rfam family: Bacterial small subunit ribosomal RNA
Source: RNAcentral